This is a long non-coding RNA of Vigna angularis (adzuki bean), 2723 nucleotides long. RefSeq lists it as uncharacterized. The record is from RefSeq and is a predicted model, not a curated record. The transcript is spliced from 4 exons. Lineage: Eukaryota; Viridiplantae; Streptophyta; Magnoliopsida; Fabales; Fabaceae.
UCAAUUAUUUCUUUUAAUAAAUCUUCGAAUCCUUCUUGUUACCUCACUUUCCUCUUUUUUUCUCCAUUUUCCAUUUUGUUAUUCACUGUCUUCACUGUCCUCACAGCUUCUAUAACCCAAAUGUCCAGUUUCCAUCUUGCACGUGUUCACAGUUCACAAUAGUCUCCUCUCCACUGCAGUUCUCGACUUGCACUCAUUUUCACGAUUCGUUAGGGAGUGUGCGACAGUAUCCUUCGUCGUUGGUCCCUCACCGGUUUUUUUGUGUCUGAUAGAGUAUGAUCCUCCAUUGUGCAAAAGAAGGUACUCGUUUCUUUCACAUUCUCCUAACAUUUUUUAUAAUCUUUUCUUUCAAGAUAAAUUGCAUAAAGUAUGUUUCUUCUGGAUCAUUGGUUGUUAUUCGGAAGUGGAGUUUAUUCAUGUGCUUUGGUUGUUGUGGUCUGUUUGCAAUUUGCUCUUCUUCAUGUAGAAUACACACCAUUGUCACCAUAAUUGUAAUGAUUGUUUUAGUAGGCUUUAAAAAAUGAACUUGUCUCAGUUGGAUCAUAGUUAUGACAACUUUUCCUAAUUAAAAUCUUCAAAAAGUUUAAAAGAUUGAAAUAGAAGUUGACUGAAAAGAUGAAAGGCUUGUAAGGAGAUUAAUAUUUUAUUAUAAAUGAAGAUCUAUUUAAGAUAACAAAAAAAAAGAAGGAAAACUAAAACAUGCAUUACUUUCAAAUGUCUAAUAAACAUUUUUUACUCAAUAUAGUUUCAAUGUUUAUUAGACAGAAUUAAUGUAAUUCUUUCCAUUAAAUACAUGCAUUCCCAGCUCCAUUAUUAUUCCUAGUUGGCAUAAGGUUUUAGGAUUUGUGAGUUCUGCUGUAUUGUUCACAUAACAGUAAUGUAAUCAGAAAAAAAAAAUGUCAUCUAUCUCAAUUAAUGAUGCACAUAGAUAGUUUUCGACAAUCAAAAGAAAAUUGAAGUCUCAAUUAUGAAACUUGUCCAUUACUCUGACGUUGAGUUUCUUGACUUGGAAGGAAUUUAUGGAAUAUUCAAAGCGUGUGAUUCUUGAAGAAAUUGGAAUUUGAUGCAGCACGCAAUAAAACUAUUUUAAUUCUAUCUCAUGUACUUCCUUACUUGAAGAACUUAGAAGAAUUGAAUGUGAAAAAAUCCGAUGUAAUGAAAAUAAUAUUCGACAUUGAUGAGAGUGAGGUCAAGACGAAGGGAGUAGUUUUUGGUUUGAAAAAUUUUACUUUAAAAAACUUGUCAAAUUCCAAACAUGUAUGGAAGGAAAACUCAACAGGAAUUAUCAGCUUUCAUAAUUUGCAAGUGGCUGUUAAUGGUUGUGAAAGUUUGAUAACAUUGUUCUCUUCAUCCCUAGCAAGAAAUCUCAGGAAGCUUGAGACACUUCAUAUAAACGAGUGUGGAAAACUGGUAGAAAAAUAGUGGAAAAGGAGGAUGGAAUGGAACAUGGAACCAAAAUAAUGUUUGAACUCCCUUGUUUGUCGAGUCUAUGUCUUGGAAACAUGCCACUCUUGAGUUGCUUUUAUCCUGGAAAGCAUGAUCUGGAUUGUCUGUUAUUAGAAAUCUUAUUUGUGUGUUAUUGUCCUAAAUUGAAGCUAUUCACAUUAGACUUUGAUGAAAAUCAGAAAGGACCUAUACAGGCUCAAGUUAGCCCACUGUAACAACCUAUGUUUUCAGUUGAAAAGAUUUCUACCAAAAUAAAGGCUUUGGCACUCAAUGAAGAAAACAUUAUGUUAUUUAGAGAAGUAGAGUUGCCACAAGACAUUCUUUGCAAUAUAACUUAUCUUUCGUUGUGCUUUGAGGUGAUGAAAAUGAGAAAGAUAGUUUGCCUUUUGACUUCUUUCACAAGCUACCCAAUUUAUUCGGUCUUAUGAUACAAAACUACUUUGGUUUGUGAGAGAUAUUUCCCUCUCAAACACAUCAAGUUCACGACAGAGGACUUGCGGGAUUGAAACAAUUACUCUUAAUAGAUCUAAAAGAGUUAGAGUUGGUGGGCUUAGAACACCCUUAGGUACAACCGUACUCUGAAAAGCUUGAAGUUUUAAAGCUUGAGAAUUGCCCUCAGUUACAAAAAUUAGUUUAUUGUGUAGUGUCUUUCAUAACUCUGUGAAAGGAUGGAGUAUUUAUUCACAUUUGCAACUGUCAAUCUUUUGGAGUGAUGGAGGUGCAGACUCAGAGGGAGAUUUUUGAUACAGAGAAGAGUGACACUCUAGAUUCAAAGUCCAAUGACAGAAGGAACAAAAUGAUGUUUUUUGGUGUGAUCUAUGUGGUCAAUUUCAAGAUAAAACUUUUGUUGUUGUUAGAAUUAAUGAGCUUUGUUUCUCAUCACCAAGACGGGGUGAAUUGGUGUUUUUAUCAAAAUUAAUGUUUUUCAAAUCUUUUUCGCAAAUGAUAUGAUUCUUUAAACAUUUCUUGGACAAUAAGUAAUAUGCAUGCAAUGUAACAAUAUGCUUAAUCAAUUAAUGACAGUAUGUAAUCGAUUAAUGCAGAGAGAUAGGGAGAAGAAAAAUCAAACUCUGAUUUCAUACUAGUUCCAGUUUCCUUCCAAUCAACCCGAGAUUGAAAGCCCAUUGCACCAUAGAGAUAUGAGUUUUUACAACAAGGUCUUUACAGUGACCAACCUGUCAAAAUGUAAACAACCUUUCUAACUCACUAAUCUAAUAUAACUAAUACAAAAACCUGCAGUAAGAACAAUCCUCUCCUAUAGUCACCCCUUUGAGAAC